UACAGAGGGGGCAAGCGUUGUUCGGAAUUACUGGGCGUAAAGGGCGCGUAGGCGGCCUGUUAAGUCGGUUGUGAAAGCCCGGGGCUCAACCCCGGAACGGCAGCCGAGACUGGCGGGCUCGAGACCGGGAGAGGUGGGUGGAAUACCCAGUGUAGAGGUGAAAUUCGUAGAUAUUGGGUGGAACACCGGUGGCGAAAGCGGCUCACUGGCCCGGUUCUGACGCUGAGGCGCGAAAGCGUGGGGAGCAAACAGG
RNAcentral lists this ribosomal RNA (253 nucleotides) under uncultured bacterium. RNAcentral's name for it is "partial 16S ribosomal RNA". It matches the Rfam family "Bacterial small subunit ribosomal RNA", at positions 524 to 776 of the family's 1533-position model. The record is from RNAcentral.